RNAcentral lists this unclassified non-coding RNA (128 nucleotides) under soil metagenome. RNAcentral's name for it is "partial internal transcribed spacer 1". The record is from RNAcentral.
CGAAUGGGUCUGAGGACUCUUAAAACCUACCGUGCUCCCCUACGUGGAAAACAGGAAAGCCCUCCGGGGCGUAGGAAAUCUGAGAAGUUGAGAACUGCGCCCCGGCGCAUGACUAAAACAAAAAAUUA